GGUUUGCGUGAGGGAUUGCAGUGGAAAUCCUUUUUUAAAUUGUCAUCCUGAGCGGAGUCGAAGGGCAAUUUAAAAAAGAUUGCAACGGAAAGCCCGACCCAGU
RNAcentral lists this small RNA (103 nucleotides) under Flavobacterium swingsii. Its description in RNAcentral is "Flavo-1 RNA". It matches the Rfam family "Flavo-1 RNA". The record is from RNAcentral. Lineage: Bacteria; Pseudomonadati; Bacteroidota; Flavobacteriia; Flavobacteriales; Flavobacteriaceae.